GAAGCCAAGGUGACAGUGAGUGACUUGGUCAGUUAGAAGAACUUCAGAUUGAAAAACACCUAGGUGUUGGUGCUAUUUCUAAUUGUCAGAAAGCGAUUUGGAGAGGGAGCCUGUGAAGGAGGAUGGAAAGAGAAGGGAUGCAAACAGAGUUAUCAUCUACUGUGAUGAAGGACACUCUGCUUUUUCUCCAGCAACAUGCCUGCCUACAUUGUUGCCAUGGUCCCCGACAAGAUAGACAGAACCUCUGGAAGGAAAGCUGUGUUUUAUUUGAAAACUAAGAACCAUCAUAAGGGUCAUCAACUGCAUUCAUGCUCUCCACUUGGACCAACUAUGAAACUGGGCCACACAUCUGUAGCUCGCGUUUUAUGUGAAAAGUCCACUUGGUUUUGUUUGAGACGGAUUUUUGCUGUGUCAUCCAGGCUGGCCUUGAUUUCACAGUCCUCUUGUCUCAGAUCCACACGUUAAAGGCUCUUUCCAUCUGCAGCCAAGUACACAGCUCCAUCAGUACUUACUUCUUGUUGACUCAAGCUUUUGUCACAGAGGACAACACAGCACUUAUUCCCAGUUCACCACUGCAGAAGAGCCACAGCGCAUGCACUUGCUUGGGAAAGUACCAUUCUUCAGUCCAAAGGACCAUGGAAACAUGACAGACCCCGAAGAACAAAGCAAU
Molecule: long non-coding RNA, 670 nt
Organism: Mesocricetus auratus (golden hamster)
Lineage: Eukaryota; Metazoa; Chordata; Mammalia; Rodentia; Cricetidae
Exons: 4
Source: RefSeq, a predicted model, not a curated record